UCAAAUCAUCAUGCCCCUUAUGUCCUGGGCUACACACGUACUACAAUGGCCGGAAACAACGGGGAGCGAAGCCGCGAGGCGGAGCAAAUCCUAUUAAAGCCGGUCUCAGUUCAGAUUGCAGGCUGAAACUCGCCUGCAUGAAGUCGGAAUUGCUAGUAAUCGCGAAUCAGCAUGUCGCGGUGAAUACGUUCCCGGGUCUU
This 200-nucleotide ribosomal RNA is filed under the name uncultured prokaryote. Its description in RNAcentral is "partial 16S ribosomal RNA". It matches the Rfam family "Bacterial small subunit ribosomal RNA", at positions 1185 to 1382 of the family's 1533-position model. The record is from RNAcentral.